CAUGCAAGUCGUACGGGUUUUAAUGGGGUAGCAAUACUCUGUUGAAAUUAGUGGCAAACGGGUGAGUAACACGUAGGUUAUCUGCCCUUAAGAGAGGAAUAACUUCGAGAAAUUGGAGCUAAUACUUCGUAUAAUGCUGGUUGUAAAACCAGUAUGAAAGGUCCGAUGCAAAUCUGAUCGCUUAAGGAUGAGCCUGCGGCCUAUCAGCUAGUUGGUGAGGUAAUAGCUUACCAAGGCUAUGACGGGUAUCUCGACUGAAAGGUUUUUGAGACACACUGGCACUGAGACACGGGCCAGACUCCUACGGGAGGCAGCAGUGGGGAAUAUUGGACAAUGGGCGAAAGCCUGAUCCAGCGACGCCGCGUGAAGGAUGAAGGCCUUCGGGUUGUAAACUCCUGUCAGAGGAGAAGAAAUCCCGAGUAAUCGGGUUGGACG
This 435-nucleotide ribosomal RNA is filed under the name uncultured bacterium. RNAcentral's name for it is "bacterial SSU rRNA". It matches the Rfam family "Bacterial small subunit ribosomal RNA", at positions 54 to 474 of the family's 1533-position model. The record is from RNAcentral.